GGCUAACUCUGUGCCAGCAGCCGCGGUAAGACAGAGGUCCCGAGCGUUGUUCGGAUUCAUUGGGCGUAAAGGGUGUGUAGGAGGUGGGGUAAGUCAGGUGUGAAAUCUCAGAGCUUAACUCUGAAACUGCGCUUGAUACUGCUCUGCUAGAGGAUCGGAGGGGGUAUCGGAAUUUAUGGUGUAGCAGUGAAAUGCGUAGAUAUCAUAAGGAACACCGGUGGCGAAGGCGGAUACCUGGAAGAUUCCUGACUCUGAAACACGAAAGCCAGGGGAGCAAACGGGAUUAGAUACCCCGGUAGUCCUGGCCGUAAACGGUGUGCAUUGGGCGUAGGCGGAUUCGACCCCGUCUGUGUCGCAGAUAACUCGUUAAAUGCACCGCCUGGGAAGUACGGUCGCAAGAUUAAAACUCAAAGAAAUUGACGGGGGCCCGCACAAGCGGUGGAGUAUGUGGCUUAAUUCGAUGCAACGCGAAGAACCUUACCUGGCCUUGACAUGCUAGUAGUAGAACCCAGAAACGGGGACGAGGUAGCAAUACCAGCUAGCACAGGUGCUGCA
Molecule: ribosomal RNA, 555 nt
Filed under: uncultured Verrucomicrobiota bacterium
Lineage: Bacteria; Pseudomonadati; Verrucomicrobiota
Description: bacterial SSU rRNA
Rfam family: Bacterial small subunit ribosomal RNA
Source: RNAcentral